This is a long non-coding RNA of Gordionus sp. m RMFG-2023, 445 nucleotides long. RefSeq lists it as uncharacterized. NCBI's taxonomy places the organism in Eukaryota, Metazoa, Nematomorpha, Gordioida, Chordodea, Parachordodidae. The transcript has 3 exons. The record is from RefSeq and is a predicted model, not a curated record.
GAUUCCAUGUACACCGGUGCAAGAAAUACAGCUGAAGAAAGAUCGAGGAAAAAGUUAUCUCCUGAAUUGGAACGCGUUUUCGAAAUCCGAACGUUAUUAUGUAGAAAUCCACGACAUCGCCAAUCAAUCAAAGCAAGAAUUCUUGACUUCAGGGAGUAGCGGUAGCUUGUCUAUCAGACAAAUAAAGAAAGGGGAACAUGAAGUAAAUAUUUUACCAUUUAGUCAGGGCAUAAUAUGGUUUCAUCGUUGCAUUGCCAAAAACUUUACUAUAGGAAUCCUGGAACAGAUGAUGUCCUGAAAAAAAAAAUGUAGAAAAUGCCCUAGUGUUAAAAAGACACAGUGACAGACAAAGAUGAAAACUACUAAUGUUUAUUUAUAAAAAGAUUAAUUAAACAAUAUAUUAAAUAUAUCUAAAAUUUUAAGUUAAAUAUAACAUUAUAAAAUA